UUGACAAGAUGUCAGAAAGCUGA
RNAcentral lists this non-coding RNA (23 nucleotides) under Cricetulus griseus (Chinese hamster). The record is from RNAcentral. Lineage: Eukaryota; Metazoa; Chordata; Mammalia; Rodentia; Cricetidae.